This 327-nucleotide ribosomal RNA is filed under the name uncultured eukaryote. Its description in RNAcentral is "partial 18S ribosomal RNA". It matches the Rfam family "Eukaryotic small subunit ribosomal RNA", at positions 1470 to 1796 of the family's 1831-position model. The record is from RNAcentral.
CCCUUAGAUGUCCUGGGCCGCACGCGCGUUACACUGAUGCACUCAACGAGCAUAUAACCUUGGCCGAGAGGCCUGGGUAAUCUUGUUAACAUGCAUCGUGAUAGGGAUAGAUUAUUGCAAUUAUUAAUCUUGAACGAGGAAUUCCUAGUAAUCGCAGUUCAUCAAACUGCAAUGAUUACGUCCCUGCCCUUUGUACACACCGCCCGUCGCACCUACCGAUUGAAUGGUCCGGUGAAGACUCGGGAUUGUGGUUUGGCUCCUUCAUUGGGGCCUGACUGCGAGAACUUGUCUAAACCUUAUCAUUUAGAGGAAGGUGAAGUCGUAACA